GGUCAAGUUAUUAAGGGUGCAGGGCGGAUGCCUUGGCACUAGGAGCCGAUGAAGGACGUGAUAAGCUGCGAUAAGCUUCGGGGAGUUGCACGUAAACUUUGAUCCGAAGAUUUCCGAAUGAGGAAACUCACUUAGAGUAAUGUCUAAGUAUCAUUAAGUGAAUACAUAGCUUAAUGAGGGGAACUCAGGGAACUGAAACAUCUAAGUACCUGAAGGAAGAGAAAGAAAUUCGAUUCCGUAAGUAGCGGCGAGCGAACGCGGAUUAGCCCAAACCAAUAAAGUUUUCUUUAUUGGGGUUGCGGACAUAUCAUAACGAAGAGGUAUCGUAAUUGAAGAGGUUUGGAAAGACCCACCACAGAAGGUAAUAGUCCUGUAUGUUAAACGAGAAGACUUCAGAUAUGAUCCAGAGUACCACGGGACACGUGAAACCCUGUGGGAAGCAGGAGGGACCACCCUCCAAGGCUAAAUACUACCUAGUGACCGAUAGCGUAUAGUACCGUGAGGGAAAGGUGAAAAGAACCCCGGGAGGGGAGUGAAAUAGAACCUGAAACCCUGCACUUACAAGCUGUGGAAGCACAUUUCUUGUGUGACCGCGUACUUUUUGUAGAACGGGCCAACGAGUUACGUUAAGUAGCAAGGUUAAGCACUUAAGGUGCGGAGCCGUAGCGAAAGCGAGUUUUAACUGAGCGUUCAGUUACUUGACGUAGACCCGAAACCGGGCGACCUACCCAUGAGCAGGAUGAAGCGAAAGUAAAAUUUCGUGGAGGUCCGAACCCACGAGCGUUGAAAAGCUCGGGGAUGACUUGUGGGUAGCGGUGAAAUUCCAAUCGAGCCCGGAGAUAGCUGGUUCUCCCCGAAAUAGCUUUAGGGCUAGCCUCAAGGUGAGAGAUACGGAGGUAGAGCACUGAAUGUCCUAGGGGGUAUUGCACCUACCGAAGACUAUCAAACUCCGAAUGCCGUCAUCUUAUACUUGGGAGUCAGACUGUGGGUGAUAAGAUUCAUAGUCGAAAGGGCAACAGCCCAGAUCGUCAGCUAAGGUCCCUAAAUGUAAGUUAAGUGGUAAAGGAUGUGGGAUUGCACAGACAACCAGGAUGUUGGCUUAGAAGCAGCCACUCAUUCAAAGAGUGCGUAAUAGCUCACUGGUCGAGUGAUCCUGCGCCGAAGAUUUCCGGGGCUAAAACUUACUACCGAAGCUACGGCAUCAGUAAUGAUGGGUAGGGGAGCUUCCCAUACGGGUUGAAGCAUGACCGUAAGGACAUGUGGACAGUAUGGGAGUGAGAAUGUUGGCAUGAGUAGCGAGAUGUGGGUGAGAAUCCCACAGGCCGUAAACCCAAGGUUUCCAGGGGAAGGUUCGUCCGCCCUGGGUUAGUCGGGACCUAAGCUGAGGCCGAAAGGCGUAGGUGAUGGACAACAGGUUGAUAUUCCUGUACUACCGAUAACCGUUUGAGAGAAGGGAUGACACAGUAGGAUAAGCUAAGCACACUGUUGGUUAUGUGUGCCCAAGCAUUGAGGCAGUCAAAG
RNAcentral lists this ribosomal RNA (1521 nucleotides) under Clostridioides difficile. Its description in RNAcentral is "partial 23S ribosomal RNA". It matches the Rfam family "Bacterial large subunit ribosomal RNA", at positions 1 to 1533 of the family's 2925-position model. The record is from RNAcentral. Lineage: Bacteria; Bacillati; Bacillota; Clostridia; Peptostreptococcales; Peptostreptococcaceae.